GUAGUCCACGCCCUAAACGAUGUCAACUAGUUGUUGGGGAUUCAUUUCCUUAGUAACGUAGCUAACGCGUGAAGUUGACCGCCUGGGGAGUACGGUCGCAAGAUUAAAACUCAAAGGAAUUGACGGGGUACCCGCACAAGCGGUGGAUGAUGUGGAUUUAAUUCGAUGCAACGCGAAAAACCUUACCUACCCUUGACAUGGUCGGAACCCUGCUGAAAGGUGGGGGUGCUCGAAAGAGAACCGGCGCACAGGUGCUGCAUGGCUGUCGUCAGCUCGUGUCGUGAGAUGUUGGGUUAAGUCCCGCAACGAGCGCAACCCUUGUCCUUAGUUGCUACGCAAGAGCACUCUAGGGAGACUGCCGGUGACAAACCGGAGGAAGGUGGGGAUGACGUACAAGUCCUCAUGGCCCUUAUGGGUAGGGCUUCACGACGUCAUACAAUGGUCGGAACAGAGGGUCGCCAACCCCGGCGAGGGGGGAGCCAAUCCCCAGAAAACCCGAUCGUAGUCCGGAUUGCACUCUGCAACUCGAGUGCAUGAAGCUGGAAUCGCUAGUAAUCGCGGAUCAGCAUGCCCGCGGUGAACUAC
This 585-nucleotide ribosomal RNA is filed under the name uncultured bacterium. RNAcentral's name for it is "bacterial SSU rRNA". It matches the Rfam family "Bacterial small subunit ribosomal RNA", at positions 790 to 1369 of the family's 1533-position model. The record is from RNAcentral.